GGGGAAUAUUGCACAAUGGGCGAAAGCCUGAUGCAGCAACGCCGCGUGAGUGAUGAAGGUCUUCGGAUUGUAAAGCUCUGUCUUUUGGGACGAUAAUGACGGUACCAAAGGAGGAAGCCACGGCUAGCUACGUGCCAGCAGCCGCGGUAAUACGUAGGUGGCGAGCGUUGUCCGGAUUUACUGGGCGUAAAGGGUGCGUAGGCGGAUGUUUAAGUGAGAUGUGAAAUACCCGGGCUUAACUUGGGUGCUGCAUUUCAAACUGGAUAUCUAGAGUGCAGGAGAGGAGAAUGGAAUUCCUAGUGUAGCGGUGAAAUGCGUAGAGAUUAGGAAGAACACCAGUGGCGAAGGCGAUUCUCUGGACUGUAACUGACGCUGAGGCACGAAAGCGUGGGUAGCAAACAGGAUUAGAUACCCUGGUAGUCCACGCCGUAAACGAUGAGUACUAGGUGUAGGAGGUAUCGACCCCUUCUGUGCCGCAGUAAACACAUUAAGUACUCCGCCUGGGAAGUACGAUCGCAGGAUUAAAAC
RNAcentral lists this ribosomal RNA (528 nucleotides) under uncultured bacterium. RNAcentral describes it as "partial 16S ribosomal RNA". It matches the Rfam family "Bacterial small subunit ribosomal RNA", at positions 356 to 900 of the family's 1533-position model. The record is from RNAcentral.